This 429-nucleotide ribosomal RNA is filed under the name Acidobacteriota bacterium. RNAcentral describes it as "Acidobacteria bacterium partial 16S ribosomal RNA". It matches the Rfam family "Bacterial small subunit ribosomal RNA", at positions 355 to 776 of the family's 1533-position model. The record is from RNAcentral. Lineage: Bacteria; Pseudomonadati; Acidobacteriota.
UGGGGAAUUUUGGACAAUGGGGGAAACCCUGAUCCAGCCAUCCCGCGUGUGCGAUGAAGGCCUUCGGGUUGUAAAGCACUUUUGGCAGGAAAGAAACGUCAUGGGUUAAUACCCCGUGAAACUGACGGUACCUGCAGAAUAAGCACCGGCUAACUACGUGCCAGCAGCCGCGGUAAUACGUAGGGUGCAAGCGUUAAUCGGAAUUACUGGGCGUAAAGCGUGCGCAGGCGGUUCGGAAAGAAAGAUGUGAAAUCCCAGAGCGCAACUUUGGAACUGCAUUUUUAACUACCGGGCUAGAGUGUGUCAGAGGGAGGUGGAAUUCCGCGUGUAGCAGUGAAAUGCGUAGAUAUGCGGAGGAACACCGAUGGCGAAGGCAGCCUCCUGGGAUAACACUGACGCUCAUGCACGAAAGCGUGGGGAGCAAACAGG